GUUUUCUGAGACUGCAUCCACUUUGAUAGUUUCUACUGAGUCCAAAUUAGAACAUCCCAGCUGGUGGGCUGUCUCCCAGGAAGCCCUCGGAGAGGAGCGGUGCAUAGGGGGCACCUGGACACAGCCCACCUCCCCCGAGUAGCGUCAGGUAGGCUUGUCUAUCUACAUCCUUUCGCCCUUUCUCAGGAAACUAUCAGAUGAUGUGCUCCCCCAGAUGAAGAAGUAGUGCCAGGAAAAAGGAGACACGGGAUACAGGGAUCCUGAAGCCGGCGGAGGACAAGGGAGCUCCUGGGAGGACAGCUGUGCUCCGGCCUAGCAAUAGCGAGCAGCUGGUCCAGACUGCCGCCGUGACUCAGAAGAUAGACAUGCGGAGGGUUAUGAUCACAGAGCAACGAUGGUCCUUGUACAUGAAGAUAAAAAUGCUCAGGUGUGCCCAGGUUGAAGAAGAUGAAAGGCCCUGCCUCCCAGAGCGCCCGGGGACACUGGUGAUCUCUUCCAGGUCUGUUUCCACCCACUGCAGCUGUGAUGGAAUCUUGCUCUGUUGCCCAGGCUAGAAUGCAGUGGCGUGAUCUUGGCUCACCAAAAAUUCUGCCUCCUGGGUUCAAGUGCCUCCACACCCAGCUAAUUUUGUAUUUUUAGUAGAGACGAGAUUUCACCAUGUUGGCCAGGCUAGUCUUGAACUCCUGACAUUGUGAUCCACCCACCUCAGCCUCCCAAAGUGCUAAGAUUACAGGUGUGAGCCACCAUGCCCGGCCUACCUGGAGCAUUAUUAAAACCUUAAACCUUUAAA
Homo sapiens (human) is the source of this 790-nucleotide long non-coding RNA. The record is from Ensembl. Lineage: Eukaryota; Metazoa; Chordata; Mammalia; Primates; Hominidae.